UUCAAUUUCUGAAACUUCCCCAGUUGAGAAUAAAGGAUGACCCUUAAUUUAUUGUUAGGUUCAUUUUAGCAUUCAGUAGUCUCCACCAGUGUUGUCUUCCAUUGAAUUUCCUUUUUAGCAGCACAUGUUAUUUGAUUCUUGAUAUAUUGUAGCACCAACAUCAGCUUUGCCUUAACUUCCUAGAGCUGCGCAGUUUAGUUGCCAGUGCAUCUUCAAGUGCUCCAUGCUUAAUUUUUCGCUUGUUUUUAUUAACUAAAAUAUAUACUCCUAUGCAUCACAGUGUCGUGUCAUAUAACAUAACUCUGAUAUGCUCUGUUUUCAAUGGACAUCGGUUUCGACAAUCCUAAAAGGGAUUCUAAGGUACUGAAUAUCACGUGGCGUCAAGAAAACUCUAGGAAUUAAUCAUUUACUCCUGGCAGAUGUCGAUCUCAAUGUUGUCAUUUAGAAUAGUGUACAGCAUAUUAACACUUCGAAGAACAAGGUGAUAUACACCAACAAAGCUACCAUGUGAGUUUGAUAACUAUUUACUGCAACAGACUUUAUGGCACGAUACAAUAGUCAAUAUUCAUUACACUGAAGAUAUAAGAUACAGAAAUACGGUACAUUUUUUUCUACUAGUUAACUAAUCUCAGAAGCAAUGCUCUAGGGAGCACCUUAAAUUUCCUCAAAGUAAUUGGGGCUUUUGUUGUUUAUGUUCCCACUUCUCCUAGCUCUUCUAAGCAUGGCAAGUCGUUCUGCUACCUCCUUCAUCUCUGGACGAUCUUCUACAACAUGUGCUAAACACUUCACAGCCAGUCUGCCAAUCUCUUCCAGUAUGUUCUAAGAUCAAAUUGAGGAUCGAGUGCAGGUAGCACCAGAACAGGACGUCAGCAGUGAACUUCCGAGCAAAGGUGUCUGGUUGAAGAUGUUGCAAGAGGAAGACCUUGGUUUGCGGUUCUUCAAGAUGCCCACAUGCAGUGGAAAGCCUAAGAAGGCUAAUGGCAGGCAUAGGAGGAGAUCCACAUGCAUGUGCACUAGGAUGAAGUGGCCGAAAGGGCCGGCUGGCUGGGUCGAGCCAGGGGACGGUGUGCAGCGACGAAUCCGGCGGUGGUGGAGUGUGAGACAAACUUGCGGUUUGCACUUGGGGUAGCGGAGGGUGGCUAAGAAUAGGCGCCGGUGGUGGCAGAGCAGUAAGGAGCGGAGGAGUGUAAGAAAAGAGAGAUGCAGAGUGGUGCUUACCGGUGCAUCCGCUUUCGCCGACAAGGUAGGGGUUGCCCUCGUAGCCUUGGGAGCACUUACAGGCAUAGCCAGUCCCAUUGGUGGAGUCGACGCACUCGCUGUGAUUGCUCUUGCAGGCGUACUGAUCUGCCGCGUCCUUGGCGUCGGCGCAGGACGGCAUUUCACGGAUAGCCCAGUCAAGGCGCGCCGGCAUGGUCCGGGUUCUGUCCAUGUGCCGCAGGUCGGAGCUCUGGAAGGUGUAGUUGUCCUCGUCGACGAUGAAGGCGUAGUCGCAUGGGCUGUGGUUGAGCAUUUGUGGCAUCUCUUUCCUGAUGUUAGGGAACUCGAACACGAUGCUCGUGAGCUCUGGCUGGAUGCCUACCUUGCAGCACCCGGCGCCGGCGCACUGGCCGUUCUGUGCUGCCGUGGCACUGCGGCAGAAGGACAUGCACCCGGAGGCGGAGGCCAGUGUUCGGCUCUCGAAGGUCUUCACGAUGCCGAUGGUGGCGCAGCCGAGGACGAAGAGCAUAUUGUGCUUGUUGGAGAUGCGGUAUAUGCCUUGGCUAGGUAUGUUCUUCUGGUGGUUGAAGAAGCUCGUGUCUUCCAUAUUGCCUACCACUUUACCGUCGGAGACGUUCAGUUCAUAGCACUGCCACCUAAUGGGAAGCAGCACCCGUGACUCGGGUGGAUCGGCGGAGAGGCUGACCACCUGGAUGGACGUGUUGGCGAUGAGCGACACGGGGCCGGCGCCACCGGCCUCUGUGCAGUUGAUCUCGAAGCCCUUGAGGAAGCAGCCGGCGCCGAUGCCGAAGGGGUAAGGGAUGUCAACGCCGCCACAGCUACCCUGACAUGUCGGUGACACGGUGAUGGUGCGGCCCUCCGCGACUGCGGUGGCUGCUAACAACGACGGCAGUAGGAGCAGCGCGGGCAAUAAGAGUGCCGCUAUUGACAUUGUUGAGAAGUUGCUUGCUACGCCUCACUACCGGCGUUUGUUUAAAUACAAGAGCACGCUGAUGCUGUGGCGUGUCUUGUUUUUUAAAGCUUAGGCAAGUUGCUUCCAUCAUGGAGGCAAAGCCUCCAGGCCGACCUCACCAGCUUAACUAACUUUGUUGGGAAAUUAAUUAGUGCAAUCAAGUUGCGCAUGCUGAUAUUCUUAACCAUUCCACAGCUAUUGACAGAGCUUCGCUCUCGUCGUGUAGAUGCAGAACCUUCAACGCACCACCCCAUGACAGGUGACAACGGAAUGACUCGACAACUAAUUUUGGUAAUUCGUCGGCUUAUCCAUUUGGGCAGCUGAUGGUCUAUAUGUACAAUGCCCAACCAGCUGUAAACAAAAGAAACAAUUCGGGCUGAAAGUCAAUUGAUCGUGGUUAACAAGAUUAGCAAGAGCGGCAAAAGGCUCUCGUGGUGACGACAUCCUUGUGUUCAAGCAACUAGCAACAACUGGGCAACCCCACAGCAGAAGGCCAAGGAGAGGAGCAGACCCCAGAAGGCAGAGAGUGAGGAGGUGCCAGCAGGCAGCCUCGGCUUGGGCCAUGUGUGCGUGUGUUGUGUAAUCAGGCUGUUGGGCCGACCAAGGCCUGCGUGCCUGUGUGUGGUUAAGUAGGUGGUCGACCCACUGUGUGAAUCAUCGAAGAAUACAGACUUGGAUCCACAAAGAUCAGGCAAGAUCCGAUCUACCUUUC
Long non-coding RNA from Triticum dicoccoides, 2882 nucleotides. RefSeq lists it as uncharacterized. The record is from RefSeq and is a predicted model, not a curated record. NCBI's taxonomy places the organism in Eukaryota, Viridiplantae, Streptophyta, Magnoliopsida, Poales, Poaceae. The transcript has 4 exons.